GUCUACGACCAUGCUACCCUGAACAAGCCCGAUCCCUUCUGAUCUCGGAAGCUAAGCAGGGUCGGGCCUGGUUAGUACUUGGAUGGGAAACCACCGAGGAAGACCAGGUGCUGUAGGCA
Molecule: ribosomal RNA, 119 nt
Filed under: Pteropus alecto (black flying fox)
Lineage: Eukaryota; Metazoa; Chordata; Mammalia; Chiroptera; Pteropodidae
Source: RNAcentral